GACGAACGCUGGCGGCGUGCUUAACACAUGCAAGUCGAACGGAAAGGCCCUGCUUUUGUGGGGUGCUCGAGUGGCGAACGGGUGAGUAACACGUGAGUAACCUGCCCUUGACUGUGGGAUAACUCCAGGAAACUGGGGCUAAUACCGGCUAGGAGCUCCUGCUGCCUGGUGGGGGUUGGAACGCUUCGGCGGUUGGGGAUGGACUCGCGGCUUAUCAGCUUGUUGGUGGGGUAGUGGCUUACCAAGGCUUUGACGGGUAGCCGGCCUGAGAGGCUGACCGGCCACAUUGGGACUGAGAGACGGCCCAGACUCCUACGGGAGGCAACAGUGGGGAAUAUUGCACAAUGGGCGGAAGCCUGAUGCAGCAACGCCGCGUGCGGGAUGACGGCCUUCGGGUUGUAAACCGCUUUCGCCUGAGACGAAGCGUGCGUGACGGUAAUGGGUAAAGAAGCACCGGCUAACUACGUG
This 468-nucleotide ribosomal RNA is filed under the name uncultured bacterium. Its description in RNAcentral is "partial 16S ribosomal RNA". It matches the Rfam family "Bacterial small subunit ribosomal RNA", at positions 28 to 507 of the family's 1533-position model. The record is from RNAcentral.